This 459-nucleotide ribosomal RNA is filed under the name uncultured bacterium. RNAcentral's name for it is "partial 16S ribosomal RNA". It matches the Rfam family "Bacterial small subunit ribosomal RNA", at positions 339 to 795 of the family's 1533-position model. The record is from RNAcentral.
CUACGGGGGGCUCCAGUAAGGAAUAUUGCGCAAUGGAGGCAACUCUGACGCAGCCAUGCCGCGUGCAGGAAGAAGGCCUUAUGGGUCGUAAACUGCUUUUAUUUAGGAAUAAACCCCCGAACGUGUUCGGGGCUGAAGGUACUAAACGAAUAAGCACCGGCUAACUCCGUGCCAGCAGCCGCGGUAAUACGGAGGGUGCAAGCGUUAUCCGGAUUUAUUGGGUUUAAAGGGUGCGCAGGCGGGCUAUUAAGUCAGUGGUGAAAUCCCGGGGCUCAACUCCGGAACUGCCAUUGAUACUGAUAGUCUUGAGUAUGGUUGAAGUGGGCGGAAUGUAGCAUGUAGCGGUGAAAUGCAUAGAUAUGCUACAGAACACCAAUCGCGAAGGCAGCUCACUAAGCCAAAACUGACGCUCAUGCACGAAAGCGUGGGGACCAAACAGGAUUAGAUACCCUCGUAGUC